Molecule: ribosomal RNA, 704 nt
Filed under: Parascardovia denticolens
Lineage: Bacteria; Bacillati; Actinomycetota; Actinomycetes; Bifidobacteriales; Bifidobacteriaceae
Description: bacterial SSU rRNA
Rfam family: Bacterial small subunit ribosomal RNA
Source: RNAcentral
GGGGAGCCCUGAUGCAGCGACGCCGCGUGCGGGAUGGAGGCCUUCGGGUCGUGAACCGCUUUUACAGGGGAGCAAGCUUUCGGGUGAGUUAACUUUGUGAAUAAGCACCGGCUAACUACGUGCCAGCAGCCGCGGUAAUACGUAGGGUGCAAGCGUUGUCCGGAUUUAUUGGGCGUAAAGGGCUCGUAGGCGGUUCGUCGCGUCUGGUGUGAAAGCCCGCUGCUUAACGGUGGGUUUGCGUUGGAUACGGGCGGGCUUGAGUGCAGUAGGGGAGACUGGAAUUCUCGGUGUAACGGUGGAAUGUGUAGAUAUCGGGAAGAACACCUAUGGCGAAGGCAGGUCUCUGGGCUGUUACUGACGCUGAGGAGCGAAAGCGUGGGGAGCGAACAGGAUUAGAUACCCUGGUAGUCCACGCUGUAAACGGUGGACGCUGGAUGUGGGGCCCAUUUCCACGGGUUCCGUGUCGGAGCUAACGCGUUAAGCGUCCCGCCUGGGGAGUACGGCCGCAAGGCUAAAACUCAAAGAAAUUGACGGGGGCCCGCACAAGCGGCGGAGCAUGCGGAUUAAUUCGAUGCAACGCGAAGAACCUUACCAGGGCUUGACAUGUUGACGAUCGCCUCAGAGAUGGGGCUUCCCUUCGGGGCGUCUUCACAGGUGGUGCAUGGUCGUCGUCAGCUCGUGUCGUGAGAUGUUGGGUUAAGUCC